AAGAUGAAGGCGAUGGGCCGUUUCUUUGAGGAAGGCGACAAAGUCAAAGUGACACUGAAGUUCCGCGGCCGUGAAAUGGCGCACCAGGAACUCGGCAUGAAGCUGCUGCAGCAAGUGAAGGCCGAUACGACCGAGUUCGCAAAGGUCGAAGCCGAGCCCAAGCUCGAAGGCCGCCAGAUGAUGAUGGUGCUUGCGCCGAAGUGAAGCGCACGCCACACUCGUAUCAAAGCCGUCCGUGAGGGCGGCUUUUGUAUGUUGGGUUGGUGCUUACCCAAUCUGACAGGAUGUGUCGAACGGCA
This 299-nucleotide unclassified non-coding RNA is filed under the name Rhizobium tibeticum. Its description in RNAcentral is "Long range pseudoknot". Lineage: Bacteria; Pseudomonadati; Pseudomonadota; Alphaproteobacteria; Hyphomicrobiales; Rhizobiaceae. The record is from RNAcentral.